This is a long non-coding RNA of Salmo trutta (river trout), 1908 nucleotides long. The record is from Ensembl. Lineage: Eukaryota; Metazoa; Chordata; Actinopteri; Salmoniformes; Salmonidae.
AUGCUGUCUGGUCUGCUACUAAUACUGCCUUACUGCCUGCUGUCUGGUCUGCUACUAAUACUGCCUUACUGCCUGCUGUCUGAUCUGCUACUAAUACUGCCUUACUGCCUGCUGUCUAAUCUGCUACUAAUACUGCCUUACUGCCUGCUGUCUGGUCUGCUACUAAUACUGCCUUACUGCCUGCUGUCUGAUCUGCUACUAAUACUGCCUUACUGCCUGCUGUCUGGCCUGCUACUAAUACUGCCUUACUGCCUGCUGUCUGAUCUGCUACUAAUACUGCCUUACUGCCUGCUGUCUGAUCUGCUACUAAUACUGCCUUACUGCCUGCUGUCUGUUCUGCUACUAAUACUGCCUUACUGCCUGCUGUCUGUUCUGCUACUAAUACUGCCUUACUGCCUGCUGUCUGUUCUGCUACUAAUACUGCCUUACUGCCUGCUGUCUGAUCUGCUACUAAUACUGCCUUACUGCCUGCUGUCUGAUCUGCUACUAAUACUGCCUUACUGCCUGCUGUCUGUUCUGCUACUAAUACUGCCUUACUGCCUGCUGUCUGAUCUGCUACUAAUACUGCCUUACUGCCUGCUGUCUGGUCUGCUACGAAUACUGCCUUACUGCCUGCUGUCUGAUCUGCUACUAAUACUGCCUUACUGCCUGCUCUCUGAUCUGCUACUAAUACUGCCUUACUGCCUGCUGUCUGUUCUGCUACUAAUACUGCCUUACUGCCUGCUGUCUGUUCUGCUACUAAUACUGCCUUACUGCCUGCUGUCUGAUCUGCUACUAAUACUGCCUUACUGCCUGCUGUCUGAUCUGCUACUAAUACUGCCUUACUGCCUGCUGUCUGUUCUGCUACGAAUACUGCCUUACUGCCUGCUGUCUGAUCUGCUACUAAUACUGCCUUACUGCCUGCUGUCUGUUCUACUACUAAUACUGCCUUACUGCUUGCUGUCUGAUCUGCUACUAAUACUGCCUUACUGCCUGCUGUCUGAUCUGCUACUAAUACUGCCUUACUGCCUGCUGUCUGAUCUGCUACUAAUACUGCCUUACUGCCUGCUGUCUGUUCUGCUACUAAUACUGCCUUACUGCCUGCUGUCUGUUCUGCUACUAAUACUGCCUUACUGCCUGCUGUCUGAUCUGCUACUAAUACUGCCUUGCUGCCUGCUGUCUGAUCUGCUACUAAUACUGCCUUACUGCCUGCUGUCUGAUCUGCUACUAAUACUGCCUUACUGCCUGCUGUCUGUUCUGCUACUAAUACUGCCUUACUGCCUGCUGUCUGUUCUGCUACUAAUACUGCCUUACUGCCUGCUGUCUGGUCUGCUACUAAUACUGCCUUACUGCCUGCUGUCUGUUCUGCUACUAAUACUGCCUUACUGCCUGCUGUCUGAUCUGCUACUAAUACUGCCUUACUGCCUGCUGUCUGUUCUGCUACUAAUACUGCCUUACUGCCUGCUGUCUGUUCUGCUACUAAUACUGCCUUACUGCCUGCUGUCUGUUCUGCUACUAAUACUGCCUUACUGCCUGCUGUCUGAUCUGCUACUAAUACUGUCUUACUGCCUGCUGUCUGUUUUGCUACUAAUACUGCCUUACUGCCUGCUGUCUGUUCUGCUACUAAUACUGCCUUACUGCCUGCUGUCUGGUCUGCUACUAAUACUGUCUUACUGCCUGCUGUCUGUUUUGCUACUAAUCCACUGGCAUCCACUUUCUUUCCUUCCUGUUAUCCUGGCACCACGGAUCCCUGUUUCACUUAAGUCAAGCUCACGUUUUGGACUAGCUAAGGAGCAAAGAAGAUUGACGUUUUUUUUCUCUCAUUCUUUCUCUGUUUGUUUUUGUUUAUUCUGUCUCUUUCGCUCUCUCUGUCUCUGUGUGUGUCUGACAGAGAGAAAAAUAGGCAGGCUACAAAGGAAGAGAGAGUAA